GGCUGAAAUUACGCCUACAUGAAGUUGGAAUUGCUGUAAUGGCAGGUCAGCAUACUGCCGUGAAUACGUUCCCGGGCCUUGUACACACCGCCCGUCACACCAUGAGAGUUGGAGAUACCCGAAGCCUGUGAGCUAACUUUUUAAGAGGCAGCAGUCGAAGGUAGAAUCAAUGAUUGGGGUGAAGUCGUAACAAGGUAUC
RNAcentral lists this ribosomal RNA (199 nucleotides) under uncultured bacterium. Its description in RNAcentral is "partial 16S ribosomal RNA". It matches the Rfam family "Bacterial small subunit ribosomal RNA", at positions 1303 to 1500 of the family's 1533-position model. The record is from RNAcentral.